UACGGGGGGGGCAAGCGUUGUUCGGAAUUACUGGGCGUAAAGGGCUCGUAGGCGGCCAACUAAGUCAGACGUGAAAUCCCUCGGCUUAACCUGGGAACUGCGUGUGAUACUGGAUGGCUUGAAUUCGGGAGAGGGAUACAGAAUUCCAGGUGUAGCGGUGAAAUGCGUAGAUAUCUGGAGGAAUACCGGUGGCGAAGGCGGCAUCCUGGACCGACAUUGACGCUGAGGAGCGAAAGCUAGGGGAGCAAACGGG
RNAcentral lists this ribosomal RNA (253 nucleotides) under uncultured bacterium. RNAcentral describes it as "partial 16S ribosomal RNA". It matches the Rfam family "Bacterial small subunit ribosomal RNA", at positions 524 to 776 of the family's 1533-position model. The record is from RNAcentral.